ACAAAAAGUGAUAAGAUUAUUAUAAUGAAAGUGUAUACUGACAUUAUAAUAGUUUUAUUCAUGUUCUAUAAACAAAUACCUUCACGUGGUAUAGAAUGAACAAUGUAUUGGAAUAGUACAUUGACCAAGAUUUGUAAUGUAAGAAUUGUGAAUGUUAAAAAGAUGUGUUUUAAUAUGUAGAGAAUUAUAUUAAGUGAUAAAGAUAAAUGUAGAAAAAAGUUUUAUGGUAAAUGUUUUUAGUUAAAAAAUUUCUGUUGUGUAAUUUUUAAGAUGUAUAAUAUAAAAUCAUAUAACUAAUAAACUUUUAAUAU
RNAcentral lists this unclassified non-coding RNA (311 nucleotides) under Nosema granulosis. Its description in RNAcentral is "intergenic spacer". Lineage: Eukaryota; Fungi; Microsporidia; Nosematidae. The record is from RNAcentral.